AUUGAACGCUGGCGGAAUGCUUUACACAUGCAAGUCGAACGGCAGCACGGACUUCGGUCUGGUGGCGAGUGGCGAACGGGUGAGUAAUGUAUCGGAACGUGCCCAGUCGUGGGGGAUAACGUAGUGAAAAUUACGCUAAUACCGCAUACGAUCUAUGGAUGAAAGCGGGGGAUCGCAAGACCUCGCGCGAUUGGAGCGGCCGAUAUCAGAUUAGGUAGGUGGUGGGGUAAAGGCCCACCAAGCCAACGAUCUGUAGCUGGUCUGAGAGGACGACCAGCCACACUGGAAAGGAGACACGGUCCAGAAUCCUACGGGAGGCAGCAGUGGGGAAUUUUGGACAAUGGGCGAAAGCCUGAUCCAGCCAUUCCGCGUGCAGGAUGAAGGCCCUCGGGUUGUAAACUGCUUUUGUACAGAACGAAAAGGUUUCUACUAAUACUAGGAGCUCAUGACGGUACUGUAAGAAUAAGCACCGGCUAACUACGUGCCAGCCGCCGCCGUAA
Molecule: ribosomal RNA, 500 nt
Filed under: uncultured bacterium
Lineage: Bacteria
Description: partial 16S ribosomal RNA
Rfam family: Bacterial small subunit ribosomal RNA
Source: RNAcentral